Pogona vitticeps (central bearded dragon) is the source of this 1532-nucleotide non-coding RNA. The record is from RefSeq and is a predicted model, not a curated record. NCBI's taxonomy places the organism in Eukaryota, Metazoa, Chordata, Lepidosauria, Squamata, Agamidae.
UGGACCAAUUCCAGAUAGGUCAAGGACUAUACGGAAAAGUUCCGCCUGCUGAUUUGAAGCCUCACUUAUCUAGUUAGCGAGUCCAGUUCAGAAGAGCAGAAAGGUUGAUGAAAUCAAGCGCAUAAACGACGAGGUAGCUGCUACGUUACAUUAGAAGACACCCACCCGUACGUACCUUUCAGCAUCAGCCAGUGGCGCUCUCUCUGCUGCAUCUGAUGAUUCUUGUGAACGAGAGCCAGGUUUUCAGCCUAAGACACCCACCCUUACUCUGAAUGCACUCCGUGUAGGUGAGCAGGAAGCAGGAGACAGAGACAGAGCAGGGGAUGGAAGCGGGGAGCUGCUUGCUCUUGAUGGUGGCAUGCAAGAGACUCCAGACUUCGGCUGUGGAGAAAGUGAUGCCCUUUAUAUGGGAGGGGGUGAUGAUGAUCGGCUCUCUGGAGGUAGUGAAGUCCAGUUCAGAAGAGCAGAAAGGUUGAUGAAAUCAAGCGCAUAAACGACGAGGUAGCUGCUACGUUACAUUAGAAGACACCCACCCUUACUCGGAAUGGACUCCGGGUAGCGGGAGACAGAGACAGAGCAGGGGAUGACCAUGAGGAUGGCCUGCUUCUCAGAAAUGGACUUGUCGGAGAAGGCCUUCAAAGAAGAAGAAGAAAAAAAGAGGAAGGACACUUUCAGCUGACUAGAAAUGGUUUGCAGAAACUAAGGACAAAUGGGACCUUGGAAAUGCAGCUGCAGGGGAUGGAGGCUCUCGAUGUUUCUUGGGGAGCGGCUCAGGUGACUCUGAAGAUGACCACGAGGAAGAUCUGCCUCUCAGAAAUGGUGGACUUGUUGGAGAAGGCUUUCAGAGAAGAAAAAAAGAGAAAGGACAUUUUCAGCUGACUAGAAAUGGUUGGCAGAAACUAAGGACAAAAUGGGACUGUUCCAAAGUAUGUUUGAGCUUUCGACUUUAACAUGAGUUAUUAUGGUUGCUAGGUUGACGUUCAGCGUGUUUAAAAAAGGACAUGGAUCUUCAUUAGAGAAAAAACAUUCGCAGUGUGCUCAUCAGCUCCUAUGACCAUCGCCAUAAUUUCACCAGAAUUUUCUUGGACAGUCAGGGUCUCUCCCUCCUCAAGGAUUUUACGACAAGGCUGACGGAUCCCACAGUGGCUCUUUGCCAUCCACUCUCCAAGCACGACUGCAUCACCUUUGCCAGAGAAAAUGGCAGAGAAUAUUUGGCAUCAAAGAUCGGCAUCCAAGUCCUGCAGACGUUGCUCCAGUUCUUUCAGGAAUUCAUCCGCUUCACUUUCUAUCUCCUUCAUGCAGGACUCUCAUGGGAGGACACGGAUGGAAGAUCUCAAGUCCAAAGUACACGCUCUUGGACUGUCCCCUGAUCUCUUAUUGACCUCUGAGUACAGUGAUACAAAAAAGUCUCUUAGAGCAGCGCCAAUACAAUAUUAAAUACUUUUGUCUGCCCCCAAGAGAUCAGGUCCUCGGUAUGACGGCUCCAAAACCAGUGGCGCACUAUCUGCAUGUACUAACAUCGCCAGACAAAA